RNAcentral lists this ribosomal RNA (725 nucleotides) under Actinomycetes bacterium. RNAcentral describes it as "bacterial SSU rRNA". It matches the Rfam family "Bacterial small subunit ribosomal RNA", at positions 89 to 818 of the family's 1533-position model. The record is from RNAcentral. Lineage: Bacteria; Bacillati; Actinomycetota; Actinomycetes.
ACUCGAGCGGCGAACGGGUGAGUAACACGUGAGUAAUCUGCCCUUGGCUUUGGGAUAACUACCGGAAACGGUGGCUAAUACCGGAUACGACAACCGUCUGCAUGGGCUGGUUGUGGAAAGUUUUUUCGGCCAGGGAUGUGCUCGCGGCCUAUCAGCUUGUUGGUGGGGUAAUGGCCUACCAAGGCUUCGACGGGUAGCCGGCCUGAGAGGGUGACCGGCCACACUGGGACUGAGACACGGCCCAGACUCCUACGGGAGGCAGCAGUGGGGAAUAUUGGACAAUGGGCGGAAGCCUGAUCCAGCAACGCCGCGUGAGGGAUGACGGCCUUCGGGUUGUAAACCUCUUUCAGUACCGACGAAGCGCCGAUGAUGGUGGUGACGGUAGGUACAGAAGAAGCACCGGCCAACUACGUGCCAGCAGCCGCGGUAAUACGUAGGGUGCGAGCGUUGUCCGGAAUUAUUGGGCGUAAAGGGCUCGUAGGCGGUUUGUCGCGUCGGGAGUGAAAACACCGGGCUUAACUCGGUGCUUGCUUUCGAUACGGGCAGACUAGAGGCAUGCAGGGGAGAACGGAAUUCCUGGUGUAGCGGUGAAAUGCGCAGAUAUCAGGAGGAACACCGGUGGCGAAGGCGGUUCUCUGGGCAUGUCCUGACGCUGAGGAGCGAAAGUGUGGGGAGCGAACAGGAUUAGAUACCCUGGUAGUCCACACCGUAAACGUUGGGCGCUA